GCGUGGUGCGAGGACAGCAGAGAAACUUUCAACACCAGCAUGCAGUUUUCAUAUAUGUCGAUGCUUUUCUGUCUAAAAAUGGAGUGCACUGCAGAUGACCCUCCAUGAGCAGGCAGCUUUGACUGAUGUUGAAUGAGGCUCAUCUACCCCCAAAAGGGCGAGGUUUUUCAUCAUGAACAUCAGGUUCCCUGCUCUGUCCUACUUGGCAAUGGCAGUAAGAAGUGGGAGACAUUGUGAAAAAGGUCUGAUCCGAUGAACGGCAAAGCAAGACUAUGAGAAGACACGCUGGCAGCGAGAUGACAUGAACAGAUGAAGUUGACGGGGAAUUGAACACAACAGCAGUUUGGAUUAGAACCAGAUCUCUGAUGGCACAUAGAAAUCUCAACCCAAGUUUGAUGAAAAAAACAUUUAAUAAGCUUGAGAAAAUGCACUGUAUAAAAUUCAAGUAUUUAUCACAUUAAAAAUAACAUGAAUCCCACUGUGAGGGCCCAGCAUGUCUGGGUCAGUCUGUGUUGAAAGAUAAUCUGUAAGAUUUCUUCUUCAAAUUGUCAAGGAAGAUCUGCUCUUCUUGGAGGUAUUCACGGUCCUGUGGGCAGGAAAAACUAGAAUUACUUAGGACAGAAAUUUUAACAUUUUGGAAUGUUUAAGGAUAUUUCCUGAACAAAUUUAUGAAAUGAAACUCCUGGCAGAAGCUGUAAGUGUGCAUGUGUUGAAAAGCUGAUAGUGUAAUUGUGGAUGAGUCACAUUACAUUACUGGAAUUGUAACCUGUUUUCAAUUUCACAUUUACAAUAAAGCCUUUACUGUAACAACCUA
Molecule: long non-coding RNA, 814 nt
Organism: Thunnus maccoyii (southern bluefin tuna)
Lineage: Eukaryota; Metazoa; Chordata; Actinopteri; Scombriformes; Scombridae
Exons: 5
Source: RefSeq, a predicted model, not a curated record